RNAcentral lists this long non-coding RNA (252 nucleotides) under Phoenix dactylifera (date palm). RNAcentral describes it as "long non-coding RNA (PDAC_LNC013484)". The record is from RNAcentral. Lineage: Eukaryota; Viridiplantae; Streptophyta; Magnoliopsida; Arecales; Arecaceae.
UCUAGCAAUUAACGGGCAGAUAAUAAAAUGAGAGUGCAAAAGGUGUUGGUUGAUCCUUUGAUGUUUUAUUAGAACUAAUUGCAUAAAAUUAAGAUAAGUACUCACUUUCGUAGGAAGCAUGAUUGCACUUAGCACGUGCAACAAGCCGUUAAACCCCUAGGUUACCCUAGUGGACGAGUGUUGUCUCGUGAGGGUUUUCAGGGAUGUUACCCACAAACAUCAUGAAUUAUAUGACAUUAGAUUCUAAUAAAA